ACGUACCACGGUACACAGCGAUUACUGCACGCCGUCCGCGCCCGUCUGACGGUUGCGCGCUUAGUUCUGCGGCC
Molecule: small RNA, 74 nt
Filed under: Xanthomonas cannabis pv. phaseoli
Lineage: Bacteria; Pseudomonadati; Pseudomonadota; Gammaproteobacteria; Lysobacterales; Lysobacteraceae
Description: sX9
Source: RNAcentral